This 7277-nucleotide long non-coding RNA is filed under the name Sus scrofa (pig). RNAcentral describes it as "lncRNA (ENSSSCG00040058523.1)". The record is from RNAcentral. Lineage: Eukaryota; Metazoa; Chordata; Mammalia; Artiodactyla; Suidae.
GCAGAGUGCCAUAAUUUUAGUUCUUGAUUUUCUUUUUUUCUCACCUAUUUAUACUCAUUUUAUACUCACAUAUAUGUUGUCCUCAUCUAGUCUUGUGUCUUUGAAAACCCUUCAAGGCUGAUAGUUCCCAAACUGGUGUCACUAGCUCAGAAUUUUUUCUCAAAUCACAGAUUCAUCACUCCAUCUCUCUAUGAAUAUCUCCACUUGGGUGAACAGUAAAUAAUAAGAUGUCUCAAACACACACUGUCCACCUGAUAAAACCUUAGGUUUCUUUCUGCUCUUUCUAUGAAGAAUCUUUCUCAUCUCAUUGGAAGAUAACCCUGCAUUUCCAAGUUUGGGGAGAAAGACCUUGGGGUUAUUCUUGAUCUUCUCUUUCAUGCACACUCCACCAUCACAUCUUCAGGAAAUCCCUUUGGCUCUGUUUUUAAGAUAGAUUCAGACUCUAAAGUCUUCUCACUGCCUCCACCAUUACUAUGCUUCCUUUCCUACCUGGCCUCCCUGUUUCUAUUCUUGUUUUUCUACUAUCUGUUCUCAACAAUAGACAGGUUGAUUCUCAUAAAAUGUGAGUUAAUGGUUUCCCUUCUCUCCUAGAAUUCUGCCCGUGGCUGCCUAUUUCAUAAGCGCUGAGGCCAAAGUCCUUACAAGAUCUUACAUUUUCAGGCCCCUGAUUACCUAUUUGGUCUCAUUUCCUACUUAUCUCCCUCUUGUUCACUCAGUUCUAGUCAUUUUGCCUUCCUUGCUUUUCCUUGGACAUGCCAGGAAUUCUCCUAACCUGUGCACUGUCAUUUCCCUCUGAUAAGAACACUCUUCUCUUAAUUAUCAGACUCCUUCAAGUUUUAAUUCAAAUGGCAACUUUCCAAAGAGGCCUAUGCUGGGCACCCUAUUUAAGAUUGCUGCCAGUCUUUCCUCUGUUCCAGCUCUCCCAACCCCUUACCUUGCUCCAUUUUUUUUUUUUGCCUUGCACUUAUAAUCUUGUAAUACUCUCUAUAAUUUACCUAUUUAUUAUGCUUUUGUUUUUUGACAGCCCCCACUUCACCCCACUGCCACUAGAAUCUAACUUCCACAAGGGCAGAAAGUUUAGUCUGUUUUGUUCACUGAUGUAUUCAAGAACCUAAGAAAGUGCCUGGCACAAGAUACAUGCAUGAUACAUAUUUAUUAAGUGAGUAAAUAAAUGAAUCUUCCACUUGAGAAAGUCAAAAUCAUCAUCAAAGAUACUAGAAAUUCCCAUUUCUAAUCACUACAAAUUAGUGACUUUCAUCUUGUUUAUACGAAAAAACAAUCAUUUAUCAUCUAACAGAUCAUGGAAAGAUUCACAAAACAACAAAAUAUGUAGUCUGGCACUAAACUAGUAAACAGCCAGUGUUAUUUUUCCAAUGAACAUCAGAGGACCUUUACCAAAAAUAGAAGGUCUUUGAUGCUGAGAUAUAAAUAAAAGCCAACACUCCAGCUUAAUUAGAUUUCGCAAUUCAGAAUAUGAACAAAUCAAGUCUUUGUAACUAUUUUCGAUGCUUAUUAAAAUACAUUAUUCAUAUUAACAUCAUAAAUCAUACUUGGAAUGUAUUCUUGAUUUGCUUUAUUAGUCCUGUGGUUGCAUAAAUGUAACUAUUGAUUGCUUUUAUAUUAUCUGAAAAUUGCUUAAACUUGUAGCUUCUAAGCUAAUGUUUCUCAAAAUGUGUUCUAAGAAACACAUUUUGGACUCCACGUUUCAUGAAAAUGUGGAGUCCAAGCUCAGGUGAGUUGGAAAGACACUGACUGAAACAGGUUUCUUUACUAUGGGGCUACAUUGUGAAUUUCAAUUUUUAAAUUUGAUGGGCAGCACUUCCUAAAGUUACUUGAUCACAGAACCUUUAGUCAAGGAUCAUUUUAACUUUGGGAAAUGAUGUUACACACAAGUAAUGUAUCAAGUACCAGAUAUUUGGUCAAAUUUGUGAUGGUGUUAUCUCUUCACAAAAGAUUACUUAGUGAUAGCGAUUUGUAGAAUAUUGGUUAUACAAGUAGAAAAGUUUGCAGAUGUCUGGAUAGAAGAUAUCCAAAACCUAGGUGGAAAAAUAAACAUUUAUAAUAUACUAACAUAGAGGGCAUGGAGGUGUCAUGAUAGUGAAAACUAGAAGGAAAUGGUAAAUACAGAAGGAAUAAAAGUUGAGAAAAGGAUGGAGAGAGAGUUAAAAAAAAGACCAUAAUUGAUGCUUUUCUUUCCUGUUAAUGCAGCCAGAAUCCAGAUUUGGGACCAAAAAAAAAGGAGAAAGCUCUAUGGAGAGCUCUGAGCCUGUGUCUUAGUGAAAAUGACAAGAGUGGAGGCCCUAGCUCUAGUCUUCACUCUUUUUCUUCCUACAUUUGUAUGAAAGUGAUCAAGAGUAAGCAAAAUGUGCAUUUCAUACAAUAUGGUUGCUUUUUUUUUUUUUUUUUCCUAAGAAAAGAGCAAAUAGCCUCAGGAAAUCAGAUUCUUGUGACCUUUGUUACUCUUUAUCACUAAAGUAGUGUUCAUUCUCAGACUCUAAAGGACAUCUGAUUAGUAACACAUGGGUGACAUCAUUGAAAAAGCAUAAUCUGUGUGUCAUGAAAUGUUACUUGAAAAUAGUAGUGGGAAAAAGUUUUGUCAUUUGGGGAAGGAUGUCAAGAAAACAUCUCAGUCAGUUAUUUGUUGGAUUUAUUGGUGAAAAAAAGCACACAUUUUUACUGAUUUGACUUUGGCUCAAUAUUGAACAAUUCGGGGCUACAAAACUGCACAUUGAGAUAUCGCUUAGCAUUUGAAAAUGACUAUGCUGCUAAAUGGCCUAUAAAGAAUUAUAUACAUUUGAUAUUUAAUAGGUUCAACAAAUAUACCCCCUGUUCCUGAGGAUGAUCCAUUUUAAGCAGAGCUGAGGGUGGCACAUUGCUCUUGAUGCAGAACCCGGGGGGCACCUCUGAGCUGGCAGAGAAGCUCAGAAGCCUUCCGUUUUCUAUGACUUCAUCCUAAGAUUUAAUCUAGUUAAUCAAGGCAUCUUUUGGACUUGUAUAUCACUUCAAGGAGACAAUAGCCUUACAGAGCUUUCCACCAUACAGACUUAAUACAUGCUGCAGAGAAACUGCAGAACAAUUUAUUAUAUGUGAUAUCUUUAUUUUUAACAUUUUUUUUGUCUUUUUAGGGCUGCACCCAAGGCAUAUGGAAAUUCCCAGGCAAGGGUUGAAUCAGAGGUGUAGCUGCCAGCCUAUUCUACAGCCACAGCCACACGGGAUCCAAGUCACAUCUAUGACCUACGCUCACAGCAAUGCCGGAUCCUCAACCCACUGAGCGAGGCCAGGGAUCAAACCCACAUCCUCAUGGAUACUAGUCUGGUUCAUUACUGCUGAGCCAUGACAGGAACCGUGAUAUCUUUGAAAUAUCAAGAAGGUUGGGGAUUUGUAUUUAAGAAACUGAGGAUUGGUUCUUACAAUGAAUCCAUCAUCACUACUUGGAGGAAUCCCAUGUUACAAAGAAUGGAUCCUGCAGGUUUUUUCUUUGUGCUGAAAUCUGCCACGGGCAGGGGAGAAACAAGCUCUGGUCAACAUUCCAAUGAUGAUGGGCCUGGGAAACGGUCCCUCUGAAACUGGAUAAGAACCCAGUGAUUAAUAGUACUUGAUGUUUUAAACAGUUAUGGUAAUUUAAAUGGCUGAUGUCAACAUUGCUACUAUCAGCAGCAACCUAAUGCUUCAAGUUUCGUUAAAAAUCAUGUAUUUGAAUUCACAUUUUCAUGUUGACUUGCUCAGCAAAUAGAGCACAGAAGUUACGGAUCCAGAUGGUGGAUGCCAUCAUGGCCUUGGAUGCACUGCCUGGAACCCCUUCAUAAAUGAAGAACUUAUUCUCUCGGCCACCAGGAUGCUGCUGGAAGAGGGCUCUUCUUUGUGGCUGUCUUAGCUCGAGACCACUGCCCUCCUUGGAGUAUAUAUCUCCUUCUAAUGACUGAUCGGCAUGGGAUGGAGGGACCUGGCUUUCUUGUCCUAACUCAGAACUAGGGAGUUGGAAGGGAUGCAAUUGGAAAAUUGGUGACAAUGACAUCUGGGGAAAAUAUGUGGAUAAAUCUCUACAAAUGGUCCCAGAGUAUAUGAGAGCUGUGUCUCUUGUGACCUCAGCAGAACUGGAUGAUAGGAUUUGUUUUGUUGAUAUGGGUCUCCCUUCCCCAGGUACCUCAUCUUGCCCAAGUGGCCAUGGUGGCAGGGAUCAAGGGCGCACAUGGGCUCAGCAAAAUAGAUGUCUGCUCACCGAGGCUAGAUGGCUGCAGCUCCUGCUGAAUGCUCCAUCUGCCAGCGCAGAGACCAGCGCAGAGCCUGCAAUGGGACACACUUCCCCAGGGGAUCGGCCAACCACGUGGUGGCAGGAUAAUUAAGCUGCAGCACUUCCAUCGAGGAAGGGGCUGCAUUUCAUUCUUGCUGGAAUAGAUUAUCACACUGGGUGUGGACUUGCUUCUCUUGCCUCCAAUGCUUCUGGAAAACCCACCAUUUGUGAACUCAUAGUCUGCCUUACCCACUGUCAUAGCAUCUGACACAUUAGCACUUCCCAGCAAGGAACAAAUUAUACUUAUAUGGAGCCAGGGGGUCCAUGCCCAUGGACUUCUCUGGUCUUAACUGUGUUCACCACCAUCAUGAAGCAGCUUGCUUGUAAAAUGUUGGAGUAGCCUUUGAUACAGUGAGUUAUGGUAUCAAUUAGGUGACAAUGCCACAUGGGGUGGGACAGUGUUCUCCCGGAGGCAAAAUAUGAUCUCACUUGGCAUCCAAUACACAGUGCUAUUCCUCCCAUAGUCACCCAUCUGGGAAUGAAGGGGUGAAAACAGGAGUGUCUUUGCUCAUUACAACCCCACAAUAUCCACUACUGAAAGUUAUACUUCCUGUCACUGCUACUUAAGGCUCUGCUGGUCUAGAGGCCUUAACUUCCAAAGGGAAGAAUGAUUUCUCAGGGGAACCCCAAAAUAGUUCUACUGAACUGGAAGUGAAUAUUGUCACUUGGUUUAGAAGGAUUUUUAAAAUUCCAAAUUUAUCUUCUUUUCUAGAAUUGUCUUCCAUCUCUUUGACUUCUAACCAAUGUUUAUUUUCUGUAGCUAUACUUAUAUUUACUUACAGAGAAAGAGAACAUAAGAGUAGCACACUCCUUCUUUGUCAGCUAUCAAGAGGAGAGGGACAUUAUUUUGUAACUCAAAGCAGUAGCAACAAAGCAGGAAAAGCUCAGGCUUUGAGCCAGAUGGGCAGCUGUGUUCAAAUCCCAGCUCCUUGAUCUACUAAAUUACUUAAUUUUUCUGAGACUUAGUUUUCUCAUCUGUCAAACAGGGAUAAUGAUACCUGUUAUAUAUCCAUGUGGUGAGUGUGAAAUAAUUAAAGCAGAAGCAAAGCACAUCUUGGACUCAGCCUAGUGCCUACUUGGUCAUCAGGAGGGACAGUGUUGGUUUACGCUUCCUGUCUUGCAAUCAUUAUCAUAAUGAUAUUAAUUAGGAUUUAUAACUCUGUUAAUGAUUAUAAUAAUUACUAAUAGCACACCAUUUCAAUCUCAGAAGUUAAGAUGAUGAAUUAGAUGUUCACUCUAAUCAUUGUCAAAUGUUGGUUUGCAUUUGCCACUCUUUUAUUGCUUAUUGUUGAGAAGAUUGCCAUAAAGUAGGUAGAAUUCAGAAGUAGUGUUUACCUAUGACUUGUAAACUCAGGUUUUGUUUUAUUUUAUUAUCAUUAUUAUUUUUUUGCUGCACCUGCGACAGAUCGAAGUUCCUGGGCCAGAGAUUGAAUCUGAGUUGCAGCUGCAACCUAUGCCACAGCUGUGGCAAUGCCAGUUCAUUAACUCAAUGGACCACAGUGGGAACUCCCUAAACUUAGAUUUUAAAUGAUUGCUGGAACUCCAAGUUUUAUUCUGAAUAAAAGAGAGCGUAGGUGUUGAAAUUUGACCAAUGAUGAAAACUGAUUACCUUAUUCCAAGGGUUGGCUUUAUUCAAGGGGAUGAUAAAACUGAUACCUUCCAUUUCAAUAGAGUCCUUGAAGAAAUCUUAUGAUAAGUCACAUUUAAACUUUAUGAUGUGAAAGGCUAAAAAAAUGUUCAGGAGAAUCAUUGCUGCCUCCCAUUUUUAAUCACUUUUUAAACUGGGAUUUCUUGUGCAUUUUUGCACACAAGGAAUUCUAGUGGGUAGGGUCCUCAGUGGCUUUCUUGGCAUGUUCACCAGAGGUGAGAAGUAGGCUCAUGCCCCUCCAUAGCCUCUGAGGAUGCGUUUCUUAUCCUUUCUUUGCUGGACAAUUUAGAGAAGAAUGAUCUGUCAGAGUAUUUAUAGAAGCCAUUAGCACGAUGAGUGAAGGCUUCGGAUAACUGAUGGCUCUUUAAAAAUAUGGCCUUAAGAAGAGGAAAGAGAAACUUGUAGGGUGUCUUCCAAAUAGCAGAUUGCUAUAUUUGGGUGGUCUGAGGAUUAUGACAAAUGUCAAGGACCACACACCGCACAAAAACAGCUCAUUAUAGCUGCACACGCAGAAUGCCAUGUUCAAGGUUGAGUGGCUGAUUUUGCUGCAAACACUAAUUUCCAGAUUAUACAAUUUGAAAUUUUUAAUUAGCCAUGAAUCCUUGUAGGGAUAACUUUGCUAUGCCUCUUUAUGUGUUGUAAAAAUAAGUCAGACUCUGCUUCAGCCACCCAAGACCUCCAAUAAAGGUUUCUGUGUGAUAGUGAUAGUUUCCUCUUCAAAUGCUAAUUUUGAAAAUUCAUAUUUCAGAAGAAUUAGUGGCUCAAUUCUGUGGUCAUUCUGCAUUUCUAAAUGUCAUUAAAAUUAAUGAAUUCUGAAAAUGAAAAGAAUAAAGCUGGUCUUUUCAGUUUGACUGAAAUGUUCCUAUUGAAUAACAUCAGAUCCAGUAAAUCACUUAAAUCUGUUGGUGAUACACACCUUUUAAAUGACUGUUGGAUUCAUGCACAAUACUUUUAUUGUUGAGGAUGUGGUGUGAACAGUAUGGAGGACAAAAUAAUAAAGAUUCAUUGAGUGUCCUGAGCUAUUUAGACUCAAUAUGCAUCAUAUUGAGAGAAUGCAAAAAUUCAAUGAAAUGCCAAAACCACCAUCGUUGGUAAUGGAGGCAUUCCAGAAAAGAUUGCAUUCUUAGGGAUGUCGCCAAAAGAUAUUUUAGUGUGUGUUUGUACACAAAAAUAUGAAUAAAUAUAUAUGGAAAAAUAGAAAGCAUAUACUAUAUAUGGAUAUAUAUUUAUAUUUGUAUAUAUAUAUUUAUAUUUGUGUGUAUAUAUAUAUAUUUAGAAUGUUACAACGGACCAGAUAAUAUAAUUCUAUGUAUUAAAUGCAGGGUUACAGAUGGACUA